RNAcentral lists this long non-coding RNA (305 nucleotides) under Physcomitrium patens. RNAcentral describes it as "long non-coding RNA (PPAT_LNC014333)". The record is from RNAcentral. Lineage: Eukaryota; Viridiplantae; Streptophyta; Bryopsida; Funariales; Funariaceae.
AACCACUGAAAUACUAAUAAACACUAUGAUGCUUCUUCCCAGUAACAAUACUCCUUCAAAAACUGAUAACAAUAAUGUGCAACCUUGCACUCUCAAAAGACCGCUCAAAACACAAUAAUUUCCAUCCAACACCAAAAAUAACAGACUUCACUCCAAUCAAUCUGAAUUCACAAAAUUUCUAUAAUCGCCAACUUCCUUUGUCAUAAUACACACACAGCUCUCAAUAAACAACAAUCAUAAUCUUCCAUCCAUAAUCAAUCUUUCAAUAACUUCUCAUAUAAUUCAAUCAUUCAAUACUCCAAUUA